Non-coding RNA from Chiloscyllium plagiosum (whitespotted bambooshark), 416 nucleotides. The record is from RefSeq and is a predicted model, not a curated record. Lineage: Eukaryota; Metazoa; Chordata; Chondrichthyes; Orectolobiformes; Hemiscylliidae.
UAUCUGACAGCCAGUCUGAGGGACAAGUUGACUUCAGCUGGGAAUGUUUGGCAGCAGAGGAGUUUGACAUUUGGAGGUUGAGAUUGUGGAAGAUUGUUGAAAGGUCACAAGAAGAACGUGAGAGUGUAUGAUGGUGAGAGGUCAUUGUGAGAGUACACGAAGAGAGAUAAGGUGAUGUUGGGCCGAGAUUUUGGUCCUACGUAUCCCUCUUCCUUCAGUGAGCCAGAUAUGGGAAAUCAGCAGCACCUAUACAGCCUCCACCCUGAACAGUCCCAGUUUUCAGAGCACAACCAGGAUAGAAUUCCUCCUUCCUCCAAAGUCUAGCUGUCUAACAAUGAUAAAAUACCUGCCAGCGCAUUCUCAGAACGUUGGAGAACUGGGAAGAUUUAAUUCAAUAGAUUUGAACUCACUAUGAA